GCUCGCUUAGCUCAGUUGGUUAGAGCGUCGUACUAAUAAUGCGAAGGUCGCCAGUUCGACCCUGGUAGUGAGCA
Molecule: transfer RNA, 74 nt
Organism: Gaeumannomyces graminis
Lineage: Eukaryota; Fungi; Ascomycota; Sordariomycetes; Magnaporthales; Magnaporthaceae
Rfam family: tRNA
About the family: Transfer RNA (tRNA) molecules are approximately 80 nucleotides in length. Their secondary structure includes four short double-helical elements and three loops (D, anti-codon, and T loops).
Source: Rfam